AGUGAACGCUGGCGGUAGGCCUAACACAUGCAAGUCGAACGGCAGCACAGUAAGAGCUUGCUCUUACGGGUGGCGAGUGGCGGACGGGUGAGGAAUACAUCGGAAUCUACUUUUUCGUGGGGGAUAACGUAGGGAAACUUACGCUAAUACCGCAUACGACCUACGGGUGAAAGCAGGGGAUCUUCGGACCUUGCGCGAUUGAAUGAGCCGAUUCCGGAUUAGCUAGUUGGCGGGGUAAAGGCCCACCAAGGCGACGAUCCGUAGCUGGUCUGAGAGGAUGAUCGGCCACACUGGAACUGAGACACGGUCCAGACUCCUACGGGAGGCAGCAGUAGGGAAUAUUGGACAAUGGGCGAAAGCCUGAUCCAGCCAUACCGCGUGGGUGAAGAAGGCCUUCGGAUUGUAAAGCCCUUUUGUUGGGAAAGAAAAGCAGCAGGUUAAUACCCCGAUGUUCUGACGGUACCCAAAGAAUAAGCACCGGCUAACUUCGUG
Molecule: ribosomal RNA, 492 nt
Filed under: uncultured bacterium
Lineage: Bacteria
Description: partial 16S ribosomal RNA
Rfam family: Bacterial small subunit ribosomal RNA
Source: RNAcentral